Nothobranchius furzeri (turquoise killifish) is the source of this 435-nucleotide non-coding RNA. The record is from RefSeq and is a predicted model, not a curated record. Lineage: Eukaryota; Metazoa; Chordata; Actinopteri; Cyprinodontiformes; Nothobranchiidae.
AGCCGAACCGUCUUACAUUCAAAUCAGCCCAGCCAGACCGUCAGAUCACAUGCGAAAGCUGUUCGUUACAGGACCAUCACACCACAGACGAUCCUCGAAGCUGGUAAGUGAUUACAAAAUAGUGAUUAAUAAGUCAAAGAUGUGUCAUUCAUAUUUAUCGUUUUUAUUCUCCAGAGCAACGGCCGACGGCCUACGCACCCCCACCACCUCCCCCUUCUCCUGCGCAGACGGAUGAACAACAUCCGACAGCCGCUUCAAUAUCUCAGCCCACACCUCCUCCUCCUCUUCCCCCUUCUCCUGCACAGGAUCAAUCCGACAGCGACUCUGAAACCGCUGACCGUGCUCCUGAGCAGCCAGCCGGUAAGCUGUUUCACAAAACCGCUCCGCAGCGUAUAUUAAAUUUUGAAGUAAAAAUAUGAUGCUUUUUAUCCUUUC